UCCUCUGUAGCUCAGUUGGUAGAGCGUGGCGCUGUCACCGCCGGGGUUGUGGGUUCGUUUCCCACGGGGGGCCAG
Molecule: non-coding RNA, 75 nt
Organism: Coregonus clupeaformis (lake whitefish)
Lineage: Eukaryota; Metazoa; Chordata; Actinopteri; Salmoniformes; Salmonidae
Source: the annotation of a RefSeq genome assembly